UUAACUCCACCAGUAAAAUAAUAAUAAUAAUAAUAAUAAUAAUAAUAAUAAUAAUAAUAAAAAUCGCUUGUCCCCAUUUUAAAUUUUAGUUAAUUUAUAUUUUCAGCUAAAUUUAUUUUUAAAUAAAAUAAAUGAAACGGAUAAUAUACUAUCUAUCUCUCAAAAAAAAUAAUAAAAUAAAAAAAUUCUGCAGGUAUUAUUUAAAUUAUGAACUACCUUAAGUUAACUAUUUAGUUUUUUAAAUUUUGAAUUGUAUGAUUUUAAUUUUUCAUUUUAAUUGAUUUGAAUAAGUCAAAUACUUCAAAAUUUAAGCUAAUUACUUAUUUUGCUGAAUUUAUAAUAAAGUUUUUGAAGAUAAAUGGAAUAUUUACACUUUGAUGUCAAAAGACCGUUGGCUAA
Molecule: long non-coding RNA, 399 nt
Filed under: Ananas comosus (pineapple)
Lineage: Eukaryota; Viridiplantae; Streptophyta; Magnoliopsida; Poales; Bromeliaceae
Description: long non-coding RNA (ACOM_LNC001249)
Source: RNAcentral